GGGCCUAUAGGGUAGAGGAUAUCCUGACGGACUUCGAAUCCGUCGACUUGCGUUCGAGUCGCAAUAGGCCCG
RNAcentral lists this transfer RNA (72 nucleotides) under Candidatus Methanimicrococcus odontotermitis. RNAcentral describes it as "tRNA-Arg". It matches the Rfam family "tRNA". Rfam says of the family: Transfer RNA (tRNA) molecules are approximately 80 nucleotides in length. Their secondary structure includes four short double-helical elements and three loops (D, anti-codon, and T loops). Further hydrogen bonds mediate the characteristic L-shaped molecular structure. tRNAs have two regions of fundamental functional importance: the anti-codon, which is responsible for specific mRNA codon recognition, and the 3' end, to which the tRNAs corresponding amino acid is attached (by aminoacyl-tRNA synthetases). tRNAs cope with the degeneracy of the genetic code in two manners: having more than one tRNA (with a specific anti-codon) for a particular amino acid; and 'wobble' base-pairing, i.e. permitting non-standard base-pairing at the 3rd anti-codon position. The record is from RNAcentral. Lineage: Archaea; Methanobacteriati; Methanobacteriota; Methanomicrobia; Methanosarcinales; Methanosarcinaceae.